This 197-nucleotide unclassified non-coding RNA is filed under the name Waltergamsia fusidioides. RNAcentral describes it as "Acremonium fusidioides partial internal transcribed spacer region". The stretch from base 1 to 46 matches the Rfam family "Eukaryotic small subunit ribosomal RNA", at positions 1786 to 1831 of the family's 1831-position model. RNAcentral also lists the same sequence under 2 other names. Lineage: Eukaryota; Fungi; Ascomycota; Sordariomycetes; Hypocreales; Bionectriaceae. The record is from RNAcentral.
AAGUCGUAACAAGGUCUCCGUUGGUGAACCAGCGGAGGGAUCAUUAUAGAGUGUAAACUCCCUAACCUUUGUGAACAUACCUGUUGCUUCGGCGGUCCUCACCGGCCGCCGAAGGCCUAUAUUCUUGAAUUUACAUGGAUUUCUGAGUAUCAUACAAAAAUAAAUAAAAACUUUCAGCAACGGAUCUCUUGGCUCUG